GGCCUCGUGGCCCAAUGGCAAGGCGUCUGACUACGAGAGAUUUCACUUAUUCAGUUAAAUCUUGAAGCAAUCAGGAGAUUCUGGGUUCGACCCCCAGCGAGGUCA
This 105-nucleotide transfer RNA is filed under the name Xylaria castorea. RNAcentral describes it as "tRNA-Arg". It matches the Rfam family "tRNA". From Rfam's summary of the family: Transfer RNA (tRNA) molecules are approximately 80 nucleotides in length. Lineage: Eukaryota; Fungi; Ascomycota; Sordariomycetes; Xylariales; Xylariaceae. The record is from RNAcentral.